UAGGGAAUAUUGCACAAUGGGGGAAACCCUGAUGCAGCGACGCCGCGUGAGUGAUGAAGGCCUUCGGGUCGUAAAGCUCUGUCGUAUGGGAAUAACAAAAUGAAUGUACCAUGCAAGAAAGGAUCGGCUAACUUCGUGCCAGCAGCCGCGGUAAGACGAGGGAUCCUAGCGUUGUUCGGAAUCAUUGGGCGUAAAGCGGGUGUAGGCGGGCUUAUAAGUCAGUUGUGAAAUCCCAGGGCUCAACCCUGGAAGUGCAUUUGAUACUGUAAGUCUUGAAUGUGGUAGAGGUUACUAGAAUUCCUGGUGUAGUGGUGAAAUACGUAGAUAUCAGGAGGAAUACCAGAGGCGAAGGCGGGUAACUGGGCCAACAUUGACGCUGAGACCCGAAAGUGUGGGGAUCAAACAGG
Molecule: ribosomal RNA, 407 nt
Filed under: uncultured bacterium
Lineage: Bacteria
Description: bacterial SSU rRNA
Rfam family: Bacterial small subunit ribosomal RNA
Source: RNAcentral